Molecule: unclassified non-coding RNA, 400 nt
Filed under: uncultured Vibrionaceae bacterium
Lineage: Bacteria; Pseudomonadati; Pseudomonadota; Gammaproteobacteria; Vibrionales; Vibrionaceae
Description: contains 16S-23S intergenic spacer region
Source: RNAcentral
AGGACUACGCGGGUAUCUAAUCCUGUUUGCUCCCCACGCUUUCGCAUCUGAGCGUCAGUCUUUGUCCAGGGGGCCGCCUUCGCCACUGGUAUUCCUUCAGAUCUCUACGCAUUUCACCGCUACACCUGAAAUUCUACCCCCCUCUACAAGACUCUAGCCUGCCAGUUUCAAAUGCAAUUCCGAGGUUAAGCCCCGGGCUUUCACAUCUGACUUAACAGGCCGCCUGCAUGCGCUUUACGCCCAGUAAUUCCGAUUAACGCUCGCACCCUCCGUAUUACCGCGGCUGCUGGCACGGAGUUAGCCGGUGCUUCUUCUGUAGGUAACGUCAAAUAAUGCAGGUGUUAACUGCACUACCUUCCUCCCUACUGAAAGUGCUUUACAACCCGAAGGCCUUCUUCAC